UACUGUACAUAUUAUAUUUAAUUAUUGAUACAUAAAAUCCUACUUAGUAUUUACAUAAAACGGCUACUUAUAAUUGCUAUAUACAAUGAAAAUUAAAAACUACGAAUGAACUUAAAUCUAAUGAAAUUAAAAUAAAAUGAAUCCAAAUAUUAAACAAAUAUCGAAAAUAAAAAUACGGAAAGCAUCUUUCCCAUCCCUAUUCCUAUCCCGCUUCACACCCGUAACUACCGUAACGUAGCACUGACAUCUACGCUGUCAAGCGUCAAUCGAUGACCACUUUCGGCAGCGUUCACCAACACAAGCCCAAAAAAAAAGAGCAAAAAGGAGCGGAACGACGCGGGAUGAGCUCUCUAUUAGAAACCACCGAAAAAAGAAAGUGCUUGAUCAGCCCGCCGCGAGAAGAACUGCAUUCGGGUCUAAAAGUGAAAGAUACCAUCAGCGUAAGAAAAGUGUGCCAAUUAUCAUCGAGUGAACCUCUUGCGUCCAGUUUCUACCGGAGUGCUAUUGCCCUGUGGCCCGGUUCGGCGAUCACCGUUGUCGUUUAGUGCAGUAUUGGCUCGGAACGAGGCCAUUUUGCAGGGGUGAUACCGUGCCCGUUUACGGAGAACCAUAUUCCUUUGUCUCGGCAGCGGGUGGAAGCCAUUUUGUGAAUGUGAAUUCGCUAGAAGAGUGACCCGAAAAAAAGCAUACUGAAUCCAGCGGUGUUGCGGACGUGCUGUACAACUACAAUAAGCUGAAGGGAAGAUCACAACCGAAAAGCAAUCCGAGGGAGGUGUGAUUAGAGCGUGGACCUGACCAGAAGUUCCUAACUAUUCGGACCGACGAACGAACCUGGGUAUCCGAGACCAUCCGUUGGAGAACGAGUUCGCCGAAUCCAAACAGCCGAAGGAUGAAGAGGCCAAUCCCCGGCGGCCUGGUGUGUCAACAUGCCGAGAUCGCAUUGACCAACGUAAACCAAGGCGAUGAUAUGGUAUGUGAGCAAAUUCCUAUUUUCAAUUCCUCAUCGUAAGACUUCCAUUUUCCAUUCCAAAGAGAAUGUUAAUAAUAUCAUGAGAAUAACUUGAAUAUAACUAUAAAAUGUAAAAUCAGA
Long non-coding RNA from Armigeres subalbatus, 1090 nucleotides. RefSeq lists it as uncharacterized. NCBI's taxonomy places the organism in Eukaryota, Metazoa, Arthropoda, Insecta, Diptera, Culicidae. The transcript is spliced from 2 exons. The record is from RefSeq and is a predicted model, not a curated record.